GAUGAUGUAAGCAAUGAUGUCAUAAAUUAUGGCGAAAAGACUAUUUUACCCUUACUCUACCAAACUUAUAAAUAGAAGCUCAUUCCUUAAUUAUUUUUCACGAAUUCACUAAAGCUUUAGAGUGAGAAAGAAUAGAGAGAAUAAGAGAGAAAGAAGAAGAAUCUUCUGUUACUACAAUAUUGCGGUAUCCAAUUUCCUACUAAGGUAAGGGGUAUUAUUUCUUUUUUAUUCAUGAAGAGAACUUCUGUUAUUCCAUUAUUUAUUAUUCUGUUGGAAUAACCUGUAUACGCGGGCUACCCUAUACUUGGUGAAAUUCUUCUGUUAUUUCAUUCUUUAUCAUUAUGUUGGAAUAACCUGUCUAUGCGAAGUACCGCAUACAUGGUGAAAUUCUUCUGUUAUUCCAUUUUUUAUUAUUCUGUUGGAACAUCCUGUCGGUGCGUUACGCGUGACCUGGUUCCAUUAUUUAUUAUUCUGUUGUAAUAUUAUGUCUGUGCGUUUCCGCAUGACCUGGUUCCAUUAUUUAUUAUUCUGUUGAAAUAUCAUGUCUGUGCAUUUGCGCAUGACCUGGUUCCGUUAUUUAUUAUUCUAUUGGAAUAACCUGUCUGUGCGGUUUAUCGCAUGCCCGGUGAUUUCUUUUGUUAUCCCAUUCUUUAUUAUACUCAGUUGGUUAAAGUUUUGACUUCUAUACUCCAUGAAAUUAGUGGAAUAUCUUUGAUAUUUGCGCUUCAUCCAGUAUCUUUUCAUGGAAAUAUUCUUCUGAGCAUUCUUG
This 769-nucleotide long non-coding RNA is filed under the name Panax ginseng (ginseng). RNAcentral's name for it is "long non-coding RNA (PGIN_LNC016482)". Lineage: Eukaryota; Viridiplantae; Streptophyta; Magnoliopsida; Apiales; Araliaceae. The record is from RNAcentral.